This 421-nucleotide ribosomal RNA is filed under the name uncultured bacterium. Its description in RNAcentral is "bacterial SSU rRNA". It matches the Rfam family "Bacterial small subunit ribosomal RNA", at positions 355 to 774 of the family's 1533-position model. The record is from RNAcentral.
UAAGGAAUAUUGGUCAAUGGACGCAAGUCUGAACCAGCCAUGCCGCGUGAAGGAUGAAGGUCCUCUGGAUUGUAAACUUCUUUUAUCUGGGACGAAAACGGGAUUUUUAUCUCAAUUGACGGUACCAGAGGAAUAAGCACCGGCUAACUCCGUGCCAGCAGCCGCGGUAAUACGGAGGGUGCGAGCGUUAUCCGGAUUUACUGGGUUUAAAGGGUGCGUAGGUGGGCUUAUAAGUCAGUGGUGAAAUCUCCGAGCUUAACUUGGAAACUGCCGUUGAUACUAUAGGUCUUGAAUUAUCUGGAGGUAAGCGGAAUAUGUCAUGUAGCGGUGAAAUGCUUGGAUAUGACAUGGAACACCAAUUGCGAAGGCAGCUUACUAUGCGGUGAUUGACACUGAGGCACGAAAGCGUGGGUAGCAAACA